Molecule: ribosomal RNA, 746 nt
Filed under: uncultured Glomeromycotina
Lineage: Eukaryota; Fungi; Glomeromycota
Description: SSU rRNA
Rfam family: Eukaryotic small subunit ribosomal RNA
Source: RNAcentral
GGCCUACCAUGGUUUUAACGGGUAACGGGGAAUUAGGGUUCGAUUCCGGAGAGGGAGCCUGAGAAACGGCUACCACAUCCAAGGAAGGCAGCAGGCGCGCAAAUUACCCAAUCCCGACACGGGGAGGUAGUGACAAUAAAUAACAAUACGGGGCUCAUUUGGGUCUCGUAAUUGGAAUGAGUACAAUUUAAAUCUCUUAACGAGGAACAAUUGGAGGGCAAGUCUGGUGCCAGCAGCCGCGGUAAUUCCAGCUCCAAUAGCGUAUAUUAAAGUUGUUGCAGUUAAAAAGCUCGUAGUUGAACUUCGGGGUUUACCCAUUGGUCAGGCUUAAUUGUCUGCACUGGUGAGAUGAAUCUCUACCUUCUGAGGAACUUUCAUGCCAUUUAUUUGGUGUGAUUGGAAAUCAGGACUGUUACUUUGAAAAAAUUAGAGUGUUUAAAGCAGGCUAACGUCUGAAUACAUUAGCAUGGAAUAAUGAAAUAGGACGGACUGAUUCUAUUUCGUUGGUUUCUAGGAUCACCGUAAUGAUUAAUAGGGAUAGUUGGGGGCAUUAGUAUUCAAUUGUCAGAGGUGAAAUUCUUGGAUUUAUUGAAGACUAACUACUGCGAAAGCAUUUGCCAAGGAUGUUUUCAUUAAUCAAGAACGAAAGUUAGGGGAUCGAAGACGAUCAGAUACCGUCGUAGUCUUAACCAUAAACUAUGCCGACUAGGGAUCGGACGAAGUUAAUUUUAUAAUGACGCGUUCGG